RNAcentral lists this ribosomal RNA (440 nucleotides) under uncultured bacterium. RNAcentral describes it as "partial 16S ribosomal RNA". It matches the Rfam family "Bacterial small subunit ribosomal RNA", at positions 338 to 795 of the family's 1533-position model. The record is from RNAcentral.
CCUACGGGAGGCAGCAGUGGGGAAUAUUGCACAAUGGGGGAAACCCUGAUGCAGCGACGCCGCGUGAGUGAAGAAGUAUUUCGGUAUGUAAAGCUCUAUAAGCAGGGAAGAAAAGGACGGUACCUGAUUCAGAAGCCCCGGCUAACUACGUGCCAGCCGCCGCGGUAAUACGUAGGGGGGAAGCGUUAUCCCGAUUUACUGGGUGUAAAGGGAGCGUAGACGGCGGGACAAGUCCGGAGUGAAAGGGCGGGGCUUAACCCCGGAACUGCUUUUGAAACUGUGCAGCUAGAGUGCAGGAGAGGUAAGUGGAAUUACUAGUGUAGCGGUGAAAUGCGUAGAUAUUAGGAGGAACACCAGUGGCGAAGGCGGCUUACUUGACUGUAACUGACUUUGAGGCUCGAAAGCGUGGGGAGCAAACAGCAUUAGAUACCCUUGUAGUC